UAUAAAGUAAAAAUGUAUAAAACCCAGUUUUAUUUCUAUAUACUAAGAACACAAAAUUAAAAAAUGAGCAUUUUUUAGGAAUGAUGAAAUUUUGUAUUAGCACCAAAAAAUCUAGGAAUAAUUAUUUUUUUAAGAUAUGCAAGACUUCUGUCUUCCACUUUAACAUGUAAAGAACUUGGAAGUCCUCACUUCUGCACUCCAAACCAGUAAAAGCUGAAAAAACAGACAGUCAGCAACUCUUCUUAGCCCCAUCAGAGAAUUGAAGUCACAGGGCAAACUGCCACUCUCAAUCUGUGGAGAUAGAUGAAUACUGAAAAUUACAUACUCCUGGGAAUAGAAACCAACACUGGAGCCAGCAAUUAGGAGGAAAACUUAAGAAUAAUUGAAUAAUUGCCAGAAACUGAACAUGAACUAGGUUGAGCAAUAAAAAAGUUCUAGGACACAGCCUUGGAUAUGCCAUACACUUUCAUGAAAUUUGCCUCCAGGAGCCCUACCAGGUACCUUAGCUGAGUAUCAGAAAUAAAAUCUACUCAUGCUUUCAGCAAAGGGAGGAGAAAAGUAAACAUUUGAAAUACACCAAUAGCAUUCUUCUUAACAAAGGCCUGCCUUCAAGAAAAACUACUUUACUAGAACCUAACAGAUGUGAGGUAAAGGAAAUACCAAACUCCAGCCUCUUGGACUUUAAGCAUUGGGGAAGGGAGAUAUCCAAGUCCAGCCUUCUUUAGCCUUUCUGUCUAAAGAAUCUUGAAGAAUCAAGAAUCUCGUUUCUGGGGGAAACAAGCUGAGAAGCAAUUGUGAAAGUCACAGACCAGAGGAGACUGCCAAUAAAAGACCAAGAUCUAAUCAUAGGAUUAUAGAAUGCUUUUCUGCUCCCACAUACCUUACCACCACUUCACCAAGGCCCAUGGAUAAUGGGUUACAGAUGGAAAAACUGCAAUUCUCAGCUUCCAUUAAAGAAGUAUUUUCUAGGGAAAGCCAAAGACAAUAGGGGAGACCAAAAAAGGAAAAUAAAGGAAAUUUUAGCCUGUGACACCAGCUACAAUAAAACAGAAAACACAGUCUAACUCGUCUCCAGUUGAACAUAAAACAUCAUAAUAAAAACGUAUAUACUUCAGUUCUUUUACCUGAUAUAUCAUGUCUAGCUUUAAACAAAAAAUUAUAAGGCAUGAUAAAAGCAAAACACACAGGCUGAAGACACAAAGCAAGCAUCAAGACCAGAUGCAGAUGUGGCAGAAAUUUUGGAAUUUUCAAACUGGGAAUUUAAAAUAAAUAUAAUAAGGGCCCUAGUGAAAAAGUAGACUACAUGAAAGAACAUAUACAUAAUGUAUGCAGAGAUUAAACCUCUAAGAAAUAAUCAAAAUGAAAUGUUAUAAAUCAAAAGCACUAUAACAGAAAUUAAGAAUGCCUUUGAUGGGCUCUAUAGUAGACUGGACACAGCCAAAGAAAGAAAUCAGUGAACUUGAAGAUAUGGCAAUAGAAACUUCCCAAACUGAAAGGCAAAGAGAAAAAUAAUGAAAAAAGUGGAACAGAGUAUUUUAAAAACUGUCAAAAAUCAAAGGUAUAACAUACUCGUAAUGGGAAUACCAGAUAUAUUGCAGAAUAAGGAGACAUGGAGGGAAAAAUAAAUAUUUGAAGUAAUAUAGGCUGAGAAUUUUCAAAAAUUAAUAACAGAAACCAAACCACAGGUAGAGAAAGCUCAGAGAACAUGAAGCAGGAUACAUACCCAAAAGUCUACACCUAGACAUAUUUAAAUUGCAGAAAAUCAAAGACAAAGAGAAAAUUUGGAAAGAAGCCAGAGGGAGAAAAACCCACCUUAACUGUGGAGGAACAGGUAAAAUAUUACGUAGGACUUCUCUUCAUAAGCCAUGCAAGCAAGAAGAGAAUGGAGUGAAAUAUUUAAUGUGUUCAAAGCAAACAAACAAACAAAAAACCUCACCAACCUAAAAUUUUUAUACAGCAAAAUUAUACU
Molecule: long non-coding RNA, 1969 nt
Filed under: Phocoena sinus (vaquita)
Lineage: Eukaryota; Metazoa; Chordata; Mammalia; Artiodactyla; Phocoenidae
Description: lncRNA (ENSPSNG00000009419.1)
Source: RNAcentral